GGAAGUGUGCCUGACAUAGGACUACCUUGAUAGAGUAGACACGGGUUCACCGACCCCACUUCCU
RNAcentral lists this transfer RNA (64 nucleotides) under Causus defilippii (snouted night adder). RNAcentral describes it as "tRNA-Ile". Lineage: Eukaryota; Metazoa; Chordata; Lepidosauria; Squamata; Viperidae. The record is from RNAcentral.